RNAcentral lists this ribosomal RNA (229 nucleotides) under uncultured bacterium. RNAcentral describes it as "partial 16S ribosomal RNA". It matches the Rfam family "Bacterial small subunit ribosomal RNA", at positions 568 to 796 of the family's 1533-position model. The record is from RNAcentral.
UACGCAGGCGGAAAAUUAAGUCAGUGGUGAAAUCCUGCAGCUUAACUGUAGAACUGUCAUUGAUACUGGUUUUCUUGAAUAUAGUUGAGGUAGGCGGAAUGUGUAAUGUAGCGGUGAAAUGCUUAGAUAUUACACAGAACACCGAUUGCGAAGGCAGCUUACUAAGCUAUGAUUGACGCUGAGGUACGAAAGCGUGGGGAGCGAACAGGAUUAGAUACCCUGGUAGUCC